Long non-coding RNA from Pipistrellus kuhlii (Kuhl's pipistrelle), 328 nucleotides. RefSeq lists it as uncharacterized. The record is from RefSeq and is a predicted model, not a curated record. NCBI's taxonomy places the organism in Eukaryota, Metazoa, Chordata, Mammalia, Chiroptera, Vespertilionidae. The transcript is spliced from 2 exons.
GUCGGGCGUCUGCGGGAAUGUGCCCAACGCUGUAUGUCAGUUGAGGUUCUAAGACCUGGAAGCCGCAGAAAUGCAGAGUGCCGCUCUGGGGAUACACAGAGCACAGAGGGACCUGGAGCCGGACCGUGGUAUCUAAUUGUGCUCAGAACUCUGCCUCAGGACCGAGUCUCCCAGCACCCAGAUGUUAGAAAAAGCAGAACCAUCCACCUACCCGGAAAGGCCCCUUGUCAUACAUGGCAGCGUAUGUGUAAGCAAACUCCCCGAUGAGCACUCGCUCAAACCAGCCUUUCAGGAUGGCCGGGACUCCAAACCACUGCAGUGGGAACUG